CCUUUACAUGUUGAAUGGGUUGCAGUAUAUCCUAGAUACAAUAUAUGUGUGCAGAACCGAACAGUUUUCUUGUUGCACAGGGAGAAUUGAAUUCAGAAGGUAAAAAUAACCCGGGAAGAAAAACAAAAAUGAUUAUUCAUUUCCCAGUAUUCUUUCUCUGGGUGUAGCUGCUUCUGUCCAUCUUUGAUCAAUUAAGGCUCUCUUUAUCGAAGAGAUCCACUUCCAUCAGAAUACAUCCUCAAACAGUAUCA
Molecule: long non-coding RNA, 251 nt
Organism: Antechinus flavipes (yellow-footed antechinus)
Lineage: Eukaryota; Metazoa; Chordata; Mammalia; Dasyuromorphia; Dasyuridae
Exons: 2
Source: RefSeq, a predicted model, not a curated record